UUACGAGGUCAGGACACUGUGAGGAUUGACAGAUUGAAAGCUCUUUCUUGAUUCAGUGGGUGGUGGUGCAUGGCCGUUCUUAGUUGGUGGAGUGAUUUGUCUGGUUAAUUCCGUUAACGAACGAGACCUUAACCUGCUAAAUAGUCACGCGAACCGGUCCGCAAGGGCUCAAAGUUCGCGGCUCGACUUCUUAGAGGGACUAUUCGCACCCGCCAGCGAAUGGAAGUUUGAGGCAAUAACAGGUCUGUGAUGCCCUUAGAUGUUCUCGGCCGCACGCGCGUUACACUGACGGAGUCAACGAGCGUUUUUCCUUGCCCGAUAGGGCCGGGUGACCUCCUGAAACUCCGUCGUGAUGGGGAUAGAUCAUUGCAAUUAUUGAUCUUGAACGAGGAAUUCCUAGUAAGCGCGGGUCAUCAACUCGCGCUGAUUACGUCCCUGCCCUUUGUACACACCGCCCGUCGCUCCUACCGAUUGAACGGUCCGGCGAGAACUCCGGAUGGUC
This 502-nucleotide ribosomal RNA is filed under the name Vermamoeba vermiformis. RNAcentral describes it as "SSU rRNA". It matches the Rfam family "Eukaryotic small subunit ribosomal RNA", at positions 1215 to 1719 of the family's 1831-position model. Lineage: Eukaryota; Tubulinea; Echinamoebida; Vermamoebidae. The record is from RNAcentral.